RNAcentral lists this ribosomal RNA (2391 nucleotides) under Escherichia coli. RNAcentral describes it as "partial 23S ribosomal RNA". It matches the Rfam family "Bacterial large subunit ribosomal RNA", at positions 544 to 2915 of the family's 2925-position model. Lineage: Bacteria; Pseudomonadati; Pseudomonadota; Gammaproteobacteria; Enterobacterales; Enterobacteriaceae. The record is from RNAcentral.
AAGAACCUGAAACCGUGUACGUACAAGCAGUGGGAGCCUCUUUUAUGGGGUGACUGCGUACCUUUUGUAUAAUGGGUCAGCGACUUAUAUUCUGUAGCAAGGUUAACCGAAUAGGGGAGCCGAAGGGAAACCGAGUCUUAACUGGGCGUUAAGUUGCAGGGUAUAGACCCGAAACCCGGUGAUCUAGCCAUGGGCAGGUUGAAGGUUGGGUAACACUAACUGGAGGACCGAACCGACUAAUGUUGAAAAAUUAGCGGAUGACUUGUGGCUGGGGGUGAAAGGCCAAUCAAACCGGGAGAUAGCUGGUUCUCCCCGAAAGCUAUUUAGGUAGCGCCUCGUGAAUUCAUCUCCGGGGGUAGAGCACUGUUUCGGCAAGGGGGUCAUCCCGACUUACCAACCCGAUGCAAACUGCGAAUACCGGAGAAUGUUAUCACGGGAGACACACGGCGGGUGCUAACGUCCGUCGUGAAGAGGGAAACAACCCAGACCGCCAGCUAAGGUCCCAAAGUCAUGGUUAAGUGGGAAACGAUGUGGGAAGGCCCAGACAGCCAGGAUGUUGGCUUAGAAGCAGCCAUCAUUUAAAGAAAGCGUAAUAGCUCACUGGUCGAGUCGGCCUGCGCGGAAGAUGUAACGGGGCUAAACCAUGCACCGAAGCUGCGGCAGCGACACUAUGUGUUGUUGGGUAGGGGAGCGUUCUGUAAGCCUGUGAAGGUGUGCUGUGAGGCAUGCUGGAGGUAUCAGAAGUGCGAAUGCUGACAUAAGUAACGAUAAAGCGGGUGAAAAGCCCGCUCGCCGGAAGACCAAGGGUUCCUGUCCAACGUUAAUCGGGGCAGGGUGAGUCGACCCCUAAGGCGAGGCCGAAAGGCGUAGUCGAUGGGAAACAGGUUAAUAUUCCUGUACUUGGUGUUACUGCGAAGGGGGGACGGAGAAGGCUAUGUUGGCCGGGCGACGGUUGUCCCGGUUUAAGCGUGUAGGCUGGUUUUCCAGGCAAAUCCGGAAAAUCAAGGCUGAGGCGUGAUGACGAGGCACUACGGUGCUGAAGCAACAAAUGCCCUGCUUCCAGGAAAAGCCUCUAAGCAUCAGGUAACAUCAAAUCGUACCCCAAACCGACACAGGUGGUCAGGUAGAGAAUACCAAGGCGCUUGAGAGAACUCGGGUGAAGGAACUAGGCAAAAUGGUGCCGUAACUUCGGGAGAAGGCACGCUGAUAUGUAGGUGAAGUCCCUCGCGGAUGGAGCUGAAAUCAGUCGAAGAUACCAGCUGGCUGCAACUGUUUAUUAAAAACACAGCACUGUGCAAACACGAAAGUGGACGUAUACGGUGUGACGCCUGCCCGGUGCCGGAAGGUUAAUUGAUGGGGUCAGCGCAAGCGAAGCUCUUGAUCGAAGCCCCGGUAAACGGCGGCCGUAACUAUAACGGUCCUAAGGUAGCGAAAUUCCUUGUCGGGUAAGUUCCGACCUGCACGAAUGGCGUAAUGAUGGCCAGGCUGUCUCCACCCGAGACUCAGUGAAAUUGAACUCGCUGUGAAGAUGCAGUGUACCCGCGGCAAGACGGAAAGACCCCGUGAACCUUUACUAUAGCUUGACACUGAACAUUGAGCCUUGAUGUGUAGGAUAGGUGGGAGGCUUAGAAGUGUGGACGCCAGUCUGCAUGGAGCCGACCUUGAAAUACCACCCUUUAAUGUUUGAUGUUCUAACGUUGACCCGUGAUCCGGGUUGCGGACAGUGUCUGGUGGGUAGUUUGACUGGGGCGGUCUCCUCCUAAAGAGUAACGGAGGAGCACGAAGGUUGGCUAAUCCUGGUCGGACAUCAGGAGGUUAGUGCAAUGGCAUAAGCCAGCUUGACUGCGAGCGUGACGGCGCGAGCAGGUGCGAAAGCAGGUCAUAGUGAUCCGGUGGUUCUGAAUGGAAGGGCCAUCGCUCAACGGAUAAAAGGUACUCCGGGGAUAACAGGCUGAUACCGCCCAAGAGUUCAUAUCGACGGCGGUGUUUGGCACCUCGAUGUCGGCUCAUCACAUCCUGGGGCUGAAGUAGGUCCCAAGGGUAUGGCUGUUCGCCAUUUAAAGUGGUACGCGAGCUGGGUUUAGAACGUCGUGAGACAGUUCGGUCCCUAUCUGCCGUGGGCGCUGGAGAACUGAGGGGGGCUGCUCCUAGUACGAGAGGACCGGAGUGGACGCAUCACUGGUGUUCGGGUUGUCAUGCCAAUGGCACUGCCCGGUAGCUAAAUGCGGAAGAGAUAAGUGCUGAAAGCAUCUAAGCACGAAACUUGCCCCGAGAUGAGUUCUCCCUGACCCUUUAAGGGUCCUGAAGGAACGUUGAAGACGACGACGUUGAUAGGCCGGGUGUGUAAGCGCAGCGAUGCGUUGAGCUAACCGGUACUAAUGAACCGUGAGG